Long non-coding RNA from Gadus macrocephalus (Pacific cod), 731 nucleotides. RefSeq lists it as uncharacterized. The transcript is spliced from 2 exons. The record is from RefSeq and is a predicted model, not a curated record. Lineage: Eukaryota; Metazoa; Chordata; Actinopteri; Gadiformes; Gadidae.
UGCUUUUCUUCCUUUCCUCGUGUCGAAUCCGUCAGACAAGGGGAACUUAUCUUUUUAUCAUUCGAGUGGACGUAACGUGUGACGAUAUUUUUGUUGGAUUUGGUCUUCAAAAUACUUUGAUUAACAGUGACAUAGAGGAUGACGUGGACUCAACGGACACAUCCGCAAAGACUCAGACUACAGCGAAUCCCUCCCAUCAGAGCCACCCAGUGAAGUUCAUGGAGUGCAGGGGGUUCACCUCUAGGGUGUGCUCAGUCUUGGUCAUGGUGUAGCAAAGAGAACUCCACGUCAAUUUAGAGGAGGUGAUCCAGCUACAAGGAUGCCAGCCACCAAUCAAAUAAUCAAUAUUUGUCAAAUGCUUUGCAUUUUGUACGUGAAUUUCUAUCAUUAACAUUUGCUGUCCUAUAGCAAUUUAUGUGCAUUUUGCUUACAUAACGUUAUGUGAGUCUUUCAGCCUCAAAGGGGGGAAUGAUGUAAAUUAUUUUAGUCUAUGCCAUUUCUGAUUACAUGUUUCAAGCUAACAACAGUUAUGAAUUGUUUCUUCACCACAUAAUGGACAACACCAUUUAAGGUUUUAGUGAUUUUGUAUAUAAGUUAAAGGUUGGGUAUGGAAUUCGCUUUUUUGCCAAUUUUUGCAAAAUUACUUGAAAUCCUUAUCAUAACCCACUUACAGCCACUGAGUUAGAAGUACUGACAUGAAAAUUAAACAAGUCAAUCAUCUGUGGAACGGG